AGAGUUUGAUCCUGGCUCAGAACGAACGCUGGCGGCGUGCCUAACACAUGCAAGUCGUACGAGAAAAUCCGCUUCGGCGGGUGAGUAGAGUGGCGCACGGGUGAGUAACGCGUGGAUAAUCUGCCUUUAAGCUGGGAAUAACUCACCGAAAGGUGGGCUAAUACCCGAUAAUGCUAUGGGACUUCGGUUUUAUAGCCAAAGAGAGCCUCUACAUGUAAGCCUUCACUUAAAGAUGAGUCCGCGUACCAUUAGCUAGUUGGUAGGGUAAUGGCCUACCAAGGCGACGAUGGUUAGCUGGUCUGAGAGGAUGAUCAGCCACACUGGAACUGAGACACGGUCCAGACUCCUACGGGAGGCAGCAGUGAGGAAUAUUGCGCAAUGGGGGCAACCCUGACGCAGCAACGCCGCGUGAGUGAGGAAGGUCUUCGGAUCGUAAAGCUCUGUCGGGUGGGAAGAAGUGUGCAUAGGUUAAUAGCUUGUGCACUUGACGGUACCGCCAAAGGAAGCACCGGCUAACUCCGUGCCAGCAGCCGCGGUAAUACGGGGGGUGCGAGCGUUGUUCGGAAUCAUUGGGCGUAAAGAGCGUGUAGGCGGCUAGGCAAGUCAGAUGUGAAAUCCCUGGGCUUAACCCAGGAAGUGCAUUUGAAACUGCUUAGCUUGAGUAAGGAAGAGGGAAGUGGAAUUCCUGGUGUAGAGGUGAAAUUCGUAGAUAUCAGGAGGAACACCGGUGGCGAAGGCGACUUCCUGGUCCUAUACUGACGCUGAGACGCGAGAGCGUGGGGAGCAAACAGGAUUAGAUACCCUGGUAGUCCACGCCGUAAACGAUGUUCACUAGGUGUUGAGGGUAUUGACCCCUUCAGUGCCGAAGCUAACGCAUUAAGUGAACCGCCUGGGGAGUACGGUCGCAAGAUUAAAGCUCAAAGGAAUUGACGGGGGCCCGCACAAGCGGUGGAGCAUGUGGUUUAAUUCGAUGCAACGCGAAGAACCUUACCAGGGUUUGACAUGCUGGUGGUAGAAGCCCGAAAGGGUGACGACCUUCGGUUUUCCGAGGGAGCCAGCACAGGUGCUGCAUGGUUGUCGUCAGCUCGUGUCGUGAGAUGUUGGGUUAAGUCCCGCAACGAGCGCAACCCUUACCCUUAGUUGCGACCAGGUUAUGCUUGAGCACUCUAAGGGGACUGCCGGUGACAAACCGGAGGAAGGUGGGGAUGACGUCAAAUCCGCAUGGCCCUUAUGUCCUGGGCGACACACGUGCUACAAUGGCCAGUACAGAGGGUUGCGAACCCGCGAGGGGGAGCCAAUCCCAAAAAGCUGGCCCCAGUUGGGAUUGCAGGCUGCAACUCGCCUGCAUGAACGCGGAAUCGCUAGUAAUCGCGUAUCAGCUACGGCGCGGUGAAUGCGUUCCCGGGCCUUGUACUCACCGCCCGUCA
Molecule: ribosomal RNA, 1427 nt
Filed under: uncultured bacterium
Lineage: Bacteria
Description: bacterial SSU rRNA
Rfam family: Bacterial small subunit ribosomal RNA
Source: RNAcentral